GGGGGAACAGGGCCAUAGAUUUCCGAAGAGAAUGGGCAAUUUACACGUAGUUGAGGAAGAGCAGAACACACAGGGCAGGCAAAUUCUUGCUAGGCAUCCACACAAACAUCAUGCAGCCAAAGAGUAAGUUGGGAUCAUAGUACUGGUCUGGUGUCUCAUUGGAUGUAAUUUACCACUGGCCAGCCUCCAAAUUCCCACACAGAA
This 204-nucleotide small nucleolar RNA is filed under the name Myotis lucifugus (little brown bat). Its description in RNAcentral is "Small nucleolar RNA SNORA23 (ENSMLUG00000019466.2)". It matches the Rfam family "Small nucleolar RNA SNORA23", at positions 42 to 184 of the family's 184-position model. From Rfam's summary of the family: The members of this family belong to the H/ACA class of snoRNAs which are thought to guide the sites of modification of uridines to pseudouridines. Lineage: Eukaryota; Metazoa; Chordata; Mammalia; Chiroptera; Vespertilionidae. The record is from RNAcentral.